UACGGGGGGGGCAAGCGUUGUUCGGAAUUACUGGGCGUAAAGGGCUUGUAGGUGGCCAACUACGUCAGACGUGAAAUCCCUCGGCUUAACCGGGGAACUGCGUCUGAUACUGGAUGGCUAGAGUGUGGGAGAGGGAUGCGGAAUUCCAGGUGUAGCGGUGAAAUGCGUAGAUAUCUGGAGGAACACCGGUGGCGAAGGCGGCAUCCUGGACCACGACUGACACUGAAAAGCGAAAGCCAGGGGAGCAAACGGG
Molecule: ribosomal RNA, 253 nt
Filed under: uncultured bacterium
Lineage: Bacteria
Description: partial 16S ribosomal RNA
Rfam family: Bacterial small subunit ribosomal RNA
Source: RNAcentral